GAGAACUUGAUACCAAGCUGUUCAUUCGCGGGAGUUUUCGGAUGUGUUUUUUUUUUACUGCAGUGAUGAAUAAUUACCGUCGUUUGUGUUGCUUGGCAGUUCGCAGGUAAGAGAGUUUAUUUGUCCUAGUGCACUUAUAUUUAAUACUCAACUUAACGAAAGCACGAUCGUGCUUUCGUUGACUGUCAACACGUCAGGGUUGUGUACAAACAUCCUCCCCACCUUGACGAAUGUCAAAACAAACAACAACAAUAAACUUAGCAAAUCGCGUGGUCUUGAUUAGUAGGUAAGACACAUAUUUUAGUAAUGGGACGCGUAACUAUACCUUUCGCUGUUUUUAAUGUUACCACGCGCACGAUCUUAUCUGCCCCGGGAUGUACUUGCAGGAUGCGCACAAGUGGCCAGCGCGUAGUUGGUAGCGAUUAUUCGUUCAUCAGCACAACCAAUCUGCCGGUGAGUAUGUUGCUGUUGUUGCCGCCCGACUGUGUGUUGGUUUUUUGCAUCUCUUGUAGGUACUCGGUUGCCCAAUGUUUCCAGAAGCGUUGAACCAGUAGCUGCCACUUCUGAAGAUCAUCGAGUGUACUGGAUUUCAGACGCGUGUAGUCCGGUUCAGGAACGGCAUGUAGAGAUGACCCAAUCAGGAAAUGUGCGGGAGUGACAGCGGUAGUAAGGGACGGGAGUUCAUUGCUGCCUCUAUUUGGUAAAGGACAAUGCAGUAACCCUCGUACGAAAGCCUCGUGCUGCCAAGGUGUCGAUAGAGAUGCCUCUUUGCUGUCUUCACGGUGGCUUCUCAUAACCCGCCAAAAUGUGGUGCUUUUGGAGGGGUGAAGUGCCAAUCGAUGCCCUUAUCAGCACAAACAGCAGCGACGGUGUUCCGGUGUUGCUCGUCCUCGAAAAGCUUGAAAAGCUCCCCAAGCUCAUGUGCGGCUCCUUCGAAGUUCUUCCCGUUGUCGGAAUGCAUUUGGGAUGGAAGGCCUCGUCGGGAAAUGAAUCGGCGUAAAGCAGCGAGAAAUCCGGCAGUUGUGAGGUCCCCCACGAACUCCAAGUGCACGGCCUUCUUAGCGAAACACACGAAAACGCACAAGUAGCUUUUAACGACUGCGGCUCGGCGAUGUGCUGGCUUCAGGUAGAGCGGUCCAGCGUAGUCCUAUCCAGUAACCGCGAAUGAACGACCAGGUGUGGCGCGCGAGGGGGAAGCUGGCCAAUGGGCUGCUGGGCGAGUGCAGGAUCCUGACGAUUGCAUCGGAAACAGUUCCUCACGAUGCUUUUCACCAGCCGACGUCCGUCGAGGGGCCAGUAGCUUUCCCUUAUCUGGGACAGUAUGAGUCUUCCGCCGGCGUGCCUAAGCUCCUCGUGAUGGUGUUCUGCGAUGAGGCGAGCGAGCUUGUGAUGCUUGGGAAGUACCACGGGAUGCUUCGAUUGUUGUCGGAUUUCUAGGGAGAAGGCGUCUUGUGCCAAUCUACAGAAAGCAGUUUUGGCAGCGGCGAUGUAUUGUGGCGGUAUCAUCAGUGAUGAUGAAGACGGCGACAGCUGCUGGGUGCGCGCCUUCUGUUUUGCGUUGCGUGCAAAACGUAUGCAAUGCGCAAUGAUGCGCAGCAGUCUGGUGUAAGAUGAGUCGAUAUCGAACCACGGAUGAGUUGGUGUACUAACGAUAUUCGCACUCACCUGACGGAUUUCGAGAUCAACUCCGUCGAUCGAUUCAGGAUUCGGGUGUGGCCAGUGGGAUGACGGAAGCACAAGCCAGUCCGGGUCGGAAUUCCACAGCGUGCUUUGCGUGAUGCUUGCUGCGGACAUGCCACGGGAGACUAAAUCCGCUAGGUUGGAUGAACCGGGAACGUGUCUCCAUUGCCGGGGAUGAGAAUGGUGCUGCACUUCGGCGACGCUGGGGGGGCUCAUCUACGCGGUGGUGUAGAUGAGCUCCCAAAACAGCAGCGCUGAGCUCCAACCUCGGUAGCGUGAUGCGUUUAAGAGGUGCCACCCGGGACUUCGAUGCUUGGAGCCUGACUCGGACCUCUCCUGAUGCGUUCUCACAGCGCACAUAAGCGCACGCGCCAUAGACUGUCUCGGAGGCAUCGGUGAAGGUGUGGAGCUCUACUUUAGAAUGGGAUGUCAUCGGGGACGGGAUCGUCCCAGCCGGAUCUCAGUAGCCACAGCUCUUGCAUCAGCAUCUUUGCGCGGAUGAUAAUCGGGGCGAUUAAUCCGAGCGGGUCAUACAUGUAGGAUGAGUGUCAAUAGAGUGACCCGAAUACAAAAAAAAAAAAAGAGAGCGAUCGGUCACUCGGGAAUGGGUGUCGUCACGCGGAUAUAAAAACGAGCGUCAAAGCCUAAUUAAUCAGUCUCCCGCUAAUCGCCAACCAAUGAACUGUCUCGACCCACCAAAAAAUUGAACAGAGUAUUCUCUUUCUCUUUCUACAUGGGGGCUCGUCCGGGAAGAGGCAGUGAACGAUAACGAAGAAAACUAUGACGACGCGAGUGUUUACGACGAUGUGAACGUUAAAGAAGAAGACGCAAGUGUAUACGACAGUGUGUGAACGUUAAAGAAGACGACGAAGACGACGAAGUGUGUGCACCUAACGAAGACGACGAAGUAUGUGCACUUAAAGAAGACGACGAAGACGACGAAGUGUGUGCAUCUAAAGAAGACGACGAAGGCGACGAAGUGUGUGCAUCUAAAGAAGACGACGAAGUGUGUGCGCUCUUGAAGAAGAUUAAAGCGACGUGCAGAACAUAUCACUGUAGUGUACCAGAUCGAAAAGAAGUGACAACGUGUGUGUGUGACCUGUGAGGAAGCAAAGUGAAGUGUGCACGAGGACGUGAAGAUGAGUAACGAAGAGUUGAUCGCGACGCUGGUAGACGAGUGUACGCGUGUGGGGCUGACAAAGAAGUGUGAAACGCGAGG
Molecule: long non-coding RNA, 2899 nt
Organism: Anopheles stephensi (Asian malaria mosquito)
Lineage: Eukaryota; Metazoa; Arthropoda; Insecta; Diptera; Culicidae
Exons: 3
Source: RefSeq, a predicted model, not a curated record